UUGGAGGGCAAGUCUGGUGCCAGCAGCCGCGGUAAUUCCAGCUCCAAUAGCGUAUAUUAAAGUUGUUGCAGUUAAAAAGCUCGUAGUUGAAUUUCGGGAUUAGUACGUCGGUCGUGCCUUAGGUACGUACUGGUGUUACUGGUUCCUACCUUCUGACGAACCAUCAUGUCAUUAAUUUGGUGUGGUGGGGAAUCAGGACUGUUACUUUGAAAAAAUUAGAGUGUUUAAAGCAGGCUCGCGCUUGAAUACAUUAGCAUGGAAUAAUGAAAUAGGACGUUGAUCCUAUUUUGUUGGUUUCUAGGAUUGACGUAAUGAUUAAUAGGGAUAGUUGGGGGCAUUAGUAUCCAAUUGUCAGAGGUGAAAUUCUUGGAUUUAUUGAAGACUAACUACUGCGAAAGCAUUUGCCAAGGAUGUUUUCAUUAAUCAAGAACGAAAGUUAGGGGAUCGAAGACGAUCAGAUACCGUCGUAGUCUUAACCAUAAACUAUGCCGACUAGGGAUCGGAUGAUGUUAUUUUUAAUGACUCAUUCGGCACCUUACGGGAAAC
This 546-nucleotide ribosomal RNA is filed under the name uncultured Glomus. RNAcentral's name for it is "SSU rRNA". It matches the Rfam family "Eukaryotic small subunit ribosomal RNA", at positions 548 to 1098 of the family's 1831-position model. Lineage: Eukaryota; Fungi; Glomeromycota; Glomeromycetes; Glomerales; Glomeraceae. The record is from RNAcentral.